This 785-nucleotide unclassified non-coding RNA is filed under the name Hevea brasiliensis (rubber tree). Lineage: Eukaryota; Viridiplantae; Streptophyta; Magnoliopsida; Malpighiales; Euphorbiaceae. The record is from RNAcentral.
AUCAACUAGAGGAGCUAACGAUCAUAGACAUUUUAUGCCUCAUGUUUGCUUUUAAGUUUUUGGAUUACUAACCUUAUCAUAAUUUGUCUUUGCUAGAACAGAUGCAAAAGCCUCUGAUAACUAUGAAUCCAUCACUUUUAAUUCAUAUCACAACUAUUCCACAACUUUAAUGAGAAACAUACUCCAUUAUGUCCACAAAUCAGAUUCAGCAUAAAACUUGCACAUCAAAUUCCUGUCAGAGGGGGUUUCCAUUCAGGACUUUCAUGUAUUUACUUCAACUGAAGCAUCUUUGACAUCUUCCAACAACAAUCUAAACUUUAGAGUCUUAUGAAGGCGGGCAACUGGCUUCACUUGCUUACUUGGAGCUUGAUUUGGAUCAAUUAUGCAUUUUCCUGAGAACAGGUUUGCUUCUGAUGGUCCUGUCUCCUCAUGAAGCACAGGGGGAGCUUCUUCUUCAGAGAAAACCAAACAUGUUCCUAUUGUUUCUUCAUAUUCUCCUAUCAGCUUCAAUUUGUCAUCUAUGAUCAGUAUUGGAUUCAAAGUAUCAAGACCAUAUAGAACAUAUGGUGCAUCUGGCGGAACGUCAACUUGCCCAGACACGGCAUCAAGAUCAAGUAGUACAUAUUCCUCUUCAUCCUCUGCAUGAACAUCGUGCAUCAAGUCUGCUUCCAUUACCUCCUCCUCCGCCUUCCUUUAGGCGUCCACUGGGUUGGAUUUGUAUAAAUUUCCAGAGUUUUUCAGAGAUUUUUCUGUGAACACGGGAAAAAAAAAAAGCUGAAGGUUGG